This 253-nucleotide ribosomal RNA is filed under the name uncultured bacterium. RNAcentral describes it as "partial 16S ribosomal RNA". It matches the Rfam family "Bacterial small subunit ribosomal RNA", at positions 524 to 776 of the family's 1533-position model. The record is from RNAcentral.
UACGAAGGGGGCUAGCGUUGCUCGGAAUCACUGGGCGUAAAGGGCGCGUAGGCGGUGCGGUAAGUCUGUAGUGAAAUCUCUGGGCUCAACUCAGAGUCUGCUGCAGAAACUGCCGUGCUUGAGUGUGGGAGAGGUGAGUGGAAUUCCCGGUGUAGCGGUGAAAUGCGUAGAUAUCGAGAGGAACACCUGCGGCGAAGGCGGGUUGCUGGGCUGACACUGACGCUGAGGCGCGAAAGCUAGGGGAGCGAACGGG